GAUGAACGCUGGCGGCGUGCUUAACACAUGCAAGUCGAACGAGGUUAUCAUUUUGGAUUGAAGCAGCUUGCUGCUGAUUGACAUGUUGAUGACCGAGUGGCGGACGGGUGAGUAACGCGUGGGUAACCUGCCUUGUACUGGGGGAUAACAGUUAGAAAUGACUGUUAAUACAGCAUAAGACCGCAGUAUCGCAUGAUACAGUGGUAAAAACUCCGGUGGUACAAGAUGGACCCGCGUUUGAUUAGCCAGUGGGUGAGGUAACGGCCCACCAAGGCUUCGAUCCAUAGCCGGCCUGAGAGGGCGACCGGCCACAUUGGGACUGAGACACGGCCCAAACUCCUACGGGAGGCAGCAGUGGGGAAUAUUGCACAAUGGGCGAAAGCCUGAUGCAGCGACGCCGCGUGAACGAAGAAGUAUUUCGGUAUGUAAAGUUCUAUCAGCAGGGAAGAAAAUGACGGUACCUGACUAAGAAGCCCCGGCUAAUUACGUGCCAGCCGCCGCGGUAA
RNAcentral lists this ribosomal RNA (506 nucleotides) under uncultured bacterium. RNAcentral's name for it is "partial 16S ribosomal RNA". It matches the Rfam family "Bacterial small subunit ribosomal RNA", at positions 28 to 523 of the family's 1533-position model. The record is from RNAcentral.